UUAAUUGACGACUCCACUAGAUACUGUUGUGUGUAUCUUCUGAAAUCUAAGGAUGAGGCUUUGAACUUUUUCAAGAUCUAUAAAGCUGAAGUGGAAAACCAACUUGAUCGGAAAAUCAAGAGGCUUAGGUCCGACCGUGGUGGAGAGUAUUUUUCCAAUGAAUUUGAUGCUUUUUGUGUGGAACAUGGUAUAAUCCAUGAGAGGACGCCUCCCUACUCACCUCAGUCAAAUGGGGUGGCUGAAAGAAAGAACCGUACUCUAACUGAUUUGGUUAACGCCAUGUUAGACACAUCAGGUCUCUCCAAGGCAUGGUGGGGGGAGGCGAUAUUGACAGCAAGUCAUGUCCUAAAUCGAGUUCCCACAAAGAACAAAGAGAUAACUCCAUUCGAGGAAUGGGAGAAGAAAAGGUUAAAACUCUCUUAUCUGCGAACAUGGGGUUGUUUGGCGAAAGUCAAUGUUCCAAUUCCAAAGAAGCGGAAACUUGGACCAAAGACUGUGGAUUGUGUUUUCUUGGGAUAUGCUUUUCAUAGCAUUGGCUAUAGAUUCUUGGUUGUAAAAUCUGAGGUACCUGACAUGCAUGUCGGUACGAUCAUGGAGUCGAAUGAUGCGACUUUCUUUGAAGAUAUCUUUCCCAUGAAGGAUAUGGCUACCUCAUCUAAUCAGGAGAUGCCUAGUUCAUCGAAUCAGGAACCAGUUACAAUUACCGAACCUGCCAUUUCGAUGGAACACUUUGAAAAUCCCGUGGAGGAGAACAAUGAAGUUCCUAUUAGGAGCAAGAGA
RNAcentral lists this ribosomal RNA (780 nucleotides) under Triticum aestivum (bread wheat). RNAcentral describes it as "partial small subunit ribosomal RNA". The record is from RNAcentral. Lineage: Eukaryota; Viridiplantae; Streptophyta; Magnoliopsida; Poales; Poaceae.